UACGUAGGGAGCAAGCGUUGUCCGGAAUCAUUGGGCGUAAAGCGCGCGUAGGUGGCUUCGUAAGUCCGUUGUGAAAGUCAAAGGCUCAACCUUUGAAAGCCGAUGGAUACUGUGAAGCUAGAGUACGGAAGAGGCGAGUGGAAUUCCUGGUGUAGCGGUGGAAUGCGCAGAUAUCAGGAAGAACACCGACGGCGAAGGCAGCUCGCUGGGACGGUACUGACGCUGAGACGCGAAAGCGUGGGGAGCGAACAGG
Molecule: ribosomal RNA, 253 nt
Filed under: uncultured bacterium
Lineage: Bacteria
Description: partial 16S ribosomal RNA
Rfam family: Bacterial small subunit ribosomal RNA
Source: RNAcentral